GACGAACGCUGGCGGCGUGCUUAACACAUGCAAGUCGAGCAGUAAGGCCCUUUCGGGGGGUACACGAGCGGCGAACGGGUGAGUAACACGUGGGUGACCUGCCCUUAGCUCUGGGAUAAGCCUGGGAAACUGGGUCUAAUACCGGAUAUGACUCCAUGACGCAUGUUGUGGGGUGGAAAGCCUUGUGCGGCUAGGGAUGGGCCCGCGGCCUAUCAGCUUGUUGGUGGGGUGAUGGCCUACCAAGGCGACGACGGGUAGCCGGCCUGAGAGGGCGACCGGCCACACUGGGACUGAGACACGGCCCAGACUCCUACGGGAGGCAGCAGUGGGGAAUCUUGCGCAAUGGGCGAAAGCCUGACGCAGCGACGCCGCGUGAGGGAUGAC
RNAcentral lists this ribosomal RNA (384 nucleotides) under uncultured bacterium. RNAcentral describes it as "bacterial SSU rRNA". It matches the Rfam family "Bacterial small subunit ribosomal RNA", at positions 28 to 412 of the family's 1533-position model. The record is from RNAcentral.